UUAGCUGAAGCUCAGUCUUGAGCAUUCCGUUGUUACCGGAAAGGUUGAUCAAAGGAUCCAGCUUUU
This 66-nucleotide transfer RNA is filed under the name Quadraceps punctatus. RNAcentral's name for it is "tRNA-Asn". The record is from RNAcentral. Lineage: Eukaryota; Metazoa; Arthropoda; Insecta; Psocodea; Philopteridae.